Molecule: RNA transcript, 1392 nt
Organism: Mandrillus leucophaeus (drill)
Lineage: Eukaryota; Metazoa; Chordata; Mammalia; Primates; Cercopithecidae
Gene name: acyl-CoA desaturase pseudogene
Exons: 2
Source: RefSeq, a predicted model, not a curated record
AUGCUAUGGAUUUUGGGUCAACGGGCUGCAAAUGAGAUCUUAGAUUUUGACUUGUACCCAGCACCCGGCGUUCGCCCGGGAGGGAGGCAAGGCUUCCUGCGUCCCCAGAGCUCCCGAUCCCGGGGAGGCGGCCACGUCCCCCUGCAACACGCCUGGGGGGCGGGAACAUGGGACGGAGUUAUCUCUAGCUCCCAUACCACCACUACCACCAUCACAGCGCCUCCCUCCAGGGUCCUGCAGAAUGGGGGAGAUAAGUUGGAGACGAUGCCCCUCUACUUGGAAGAAGACAUUCGCCCUGGUAUAAAAGAUGAUAUAUAUGACCCCACCUAUAAUGAUAAGGAAGGCCCAAGCCCCAAGGUUAAUUAUGUCUGGAGAAACGUCAUCCUUAUGUCUCUGCUACACUUGGGUGCCCUGUUUGGGAUCACUUUGAUUCCUACCUGCAAGUUCUACUCCUGGCUUUGGGGGUUAUUCUACUAUUUUGUCAGGGCCCUGGACAUAACAGCAGGAGCUCAUCCUCUGUGGAGCCAACCCUCUUACAAAGCUCGGCUGCCCCUACGGCUCUUUCUGAUCAUUGCCAACACAAUGGCAUUCCAGAAUGGUAUCUAUGAAUGGGCUCACGACCACCGUGCCCAUCACAAGUUUUCAGAAACACAUGCUGAUCCUCGUAAUUCCAGACAUGGCUUUGUCUUCUCUCACGUGGGUUGGCUGUGCAAACACUCAGCUGUCAAGGAGAAGGGUGGUACGCUAGACUUGUCUGAUCUAGAAGCCGAGAAACUGGUGAUGUUCCAGAGGAGGUACUACAAACCCCGGUUUGCUGCUGAUAUGUGCUUCACCCUGCCCACGCUUGUGCCCUGGUGUUUCUGGGGUGAAACUUUUCAACACAGCUUGUUCAUUGCCACCUUCUUGCGGUAUGCUGUAGUGCUUCAUGCCACCUGGCUGGUGAACAGUGCUGCUCACCUCUUCGGAUAUCGUCCUUAUGACAAGAACAUUAGCCCCCGGGAGAAUGUCCUGGUUUCACCUGGAGCUGUUGGUGAGGGCUUCCACGAGUACCACCACUCCUUUCCCUAUGACUACUCUGCCAGUGAGUACUGCUGGCACAUCAGCUUCACCACAUUCUUCAUUGAUUGCAUGGCCUCCCUGGGUCUGGCCUAUGACCGGAAGAAAGUCUCCAAGGCCUCCACCUUGGCCAGCAUUAAAAGAACCGGAGACUGAAGCUACAAGAGUGGCUGAGUUUGGAGUCCCUCAGGUUCCUUUUACAAAAGCCAGCCAGGCAGAGGUUUUAAUGUCUGUUUAUUAACUACUGAAUAAUGCUACCAGGAUGCUAAAGAUGACGAUGUCAACCCAUUCCAGUACAGUAUUCUUUUAAAAUACAAAAGUAUUGAAAGCCAACAA